GAGAGAGAGACAGAGAGAGAAAGGCAGAGAAGAGAGAGCCAGAGACAGAGAUCAUGAAGCGACAGUCUUUCCAGUGAAGGAAGAAGAUAACGACCCACAGCAGGAGGAGGAGAUGAUGAACCAGCCUAUAUUAAUACAACAGGCAGACAGCACUAAAACACAGCAGGAGUCCUUUGUGAGUGGAGAUAUCAACAGUGUUGCUCUUGCACAACCGCUGCCCUUUCCACUGGCACCAAGAGACGACAACAGCUACUACUAACUGGGGGAAAAGAAGAGAGUAAGAGUGGAGCGAGAGACAGUGGAAAGCAAACCAAUGACAGCUGGAGAAGCUCACUUUGAGCCUGAUUUGUUUCCUUUGUGAAACCCAGAACAGACUGUACGGAGGACAGCAGUGCAGUUGAUGGGGUUUUGGUCAUCUCUUGGCCUCGAUGCUAAUCGCUACUUGAGGACUUAUCUCUGCUAACCCUAAUCCUGAAAAGACCACUGGGUUGAGGAGGCGAGGACACCACCUCUGUCUCACUGCAGGCUCCAACUCUUCCAGCAACACACACACAGGGAACUCGCUCUCCACACUCACUCAGUGGUCACAUCACACAACCUGCACCCAGAUACUACAGAGUUGUACCCACCCUCAGUGUGAGUGACAUUAUGGAUGCCAGGGAGGAGAUGCUGACCCUGCUACAGAAGCUCUGGACCAAACUGCAGGGUCUCCCCACCGCCAGCCCUCUGGAGAUAGGGGCCUUCGCUGUCCUCAUCCUCUUUAUCGUGGUCUUCCUGCUCCUGCUGCUGAUGACCUGUUUGACGUGCUGCUGCUGUCGCAGGACCAGAACCAAGGGGCCACAUAGUCAGCUGACCUGAGACAAUCCCCACUUCCCCCAAUAAUGAGGAGAGACAUUAUAAACAGGCACUCUAUGGCCCUCUAAACCCCAGAAGAAUGAGGACCCAUACAGACUGGUGUGAACUGAAAACCCUGUCACCACUGUAUCACCAGGAAAGACAUUCUGGAAAGGCACUCUAUGGGCCUCUUAACCCCGGAGGAAUGAGGAGGACCCGUGGGGAGGGUGUGGAGCCCGUUUAUAAAGGAGCCCAGCUUCUAGGAUGUAUGGGUGUCAACUCAACUUCUGCCACUGGCUCAAAGAUUAUAAGAAAGAGCCCUCUGCAGUUUUCAUCAACAACAAUGGAGACAUCUUGCCAAACCCCUUGUGAGAGUGUUGCCAUAUGUAUUUUAUCUAAAGGACUUCCUUUGCUUUAUUGCUGUGUUCAUGUGCUAGACGGAACUAGGAAACUCAGAAAUGUCCGACAUGCUAACUGGUUGAACGCGGCACGUGAACAAGCCAUCAUCUCCUUCUCAGGGGAUUCAGAGGACCAUGCCUGCCCUCUGCUGUACAAACAUGGAACUGAGGCAGUGAGCCUUGUAAUAUGCUUCACAGUUAUACACAACAGAAAAAGAGUAAUGUUGUAUUUUACGUAUAGUUGUUGCAUAGGUUAAAAAGGGUAUCUCUUCCUUCUUAAAAAAGCAUUUUCUUAGCCUGCCUAAAAUAGUGCCAUACGCUUUUGUAUCUCUCUUGCAUGAAAUAAAACAAAAAUGCA
This is a long non-coding RNA of Coregonus clupeaformis (lake whitefish), 1590 nucleotides long. RefSeq lists it as uncharacterized. NCBI's taxonomy places the organism in Eukaryota, Metazoa, Chordata, Actinopteri, Salmoniformes, Salmonidae. The transcript has 3 exons. The record is from RefSeq and is a predicted model, not a curated record.